RNAcentral lists this ribosomal RNA (372 nucleotides) under uncultured bacterium. RNAcentral's name for it is "bacterial SSU rRNA". It matches the Rfam family "Bacterial small subunit ribosomal RNA", at positions 524 to 898 of the family's 1533-position model. The record is from RNAcentral.
UACGGAGGAUCCAAGCGUUAUCCGGAUUUAUUGGGUUUAAAGGGUGCGUAGGUGGAUUUAUAAGUCAGAGGUGAAAGCCAACAGCCUAACUGUUGAAAUGCCUUUGAUACUGUAAGUCUUGAGUAUGGUUGAGGUAGGCGGAAUGUGACAUGUAGCGGUGAAAUGCGUAGAUAUGUCACAGAACACCGAUUGCGAAGGCAGCUUGCCAAGCCAUUACUGACACUGAUGCACGAAAGCGUGGGUAGCAAACAGGAUUAGAUACCCUGGUAGUCCACGCCGUAAACGAUGAUGACUCGACGUUGGCGAUAUACGGUCAGCGUCCAAGCGAAAGCGUUAAGUCAUCCACCUGGGAAGUACGAUCGCAAGGUUGAA